UAAUACGGAGGGUGCAAGCGUUGCUCGGAAUCACUGGGCGUAAAGCGACCGCAGGCGGCCUGACAAGUCGGAUGUGAAAGCCCUGGGCUCAACUCAGGAAUUGCAUUCGAAACUGGCAGGCUUGAGUACGGGAGAGGGGGGUGGAAUUCCUGGUGUAGGGGUGAAAUUCGUUGAUAUCAGGAGGAACACCGGCGGCGAAGGCGGCCCCCUGGCCCGCAACUGACGCUCAUGGUCGAAAGCGUGGGGAGCAAACAGGAUUAGAUACCCUGGUAGUCCACGCCUUAAACUAUGAAUACUAAGUGUCGGCGGGUUACCGCCGGUGCCGCAGCUAACGCAUUAAGUAUUCCGCCUGGGAAGUACGGCCGCAAGGUUG
RNAcentral lists this ribosomal RNA (373 nucleotides) under uncultured bacterium. Its description in RNAcentral is "bacterial SSU rRNA". It matches the Rfam family "Bacterial small subunit ribosomal RNA", at positions 521 to 896 of the family's 1533-position model. The record is from RNAcentral.